GCACCGCCUGUCAGUAUGGCCGUGUCGGC
RNAcentral lists this small RNA (29 nucleotides) under Bombyx mori (domestic silkworm). RNAcentral describes it as "ovarian small RNA-5235". The record is from RNAcentral. Lineage: Eukaryota; Metazoa; Arthropoda; Insecta; Lepidoptera; Bombycidae.